Molecule: ribosomal RNA, 431 nt
Filed under: Dermatobranchus sp. 7 MP-2010
Lineage: Eukaryota; Metazoa; Mollusca; Gastropoda; Nudibranchia; Arminidae
Description: partial 16S ribosomal RNA
Rfam family: Bacterial large subunit ribosomal RNA
Source: RNAcentral
AGCUAGAAGUAUUUAUUUUUAGUUCAACCUGCCCGAUGUGAAAAUUAAUGGCCGCGGUACCCUGACCGUGCUAAGGUAGCGUAAUCAGUUGGCUUUUAAAUGGAGUCAGGAAUGAAUGGGAUAACCUGGUUUAGCUGUCUCCUUACCACUUAAUUAAAUUUACUGACUAAGUGAAAAAGCUUAGAAUACGAAAAGGGACGAGAAGACCCUUAGAAUUUUGCAAAGAGUAAGUAUGUGCUUAAGUAGUUUUGUUGGGGUGACAUGGAAAUAUUCAUAACUUUCCAGCUAUACAAGACAAAUAUAUUAAGAAAGAAUAAAUUACCUGAGGGAUAACAGCAUUAUUCUAUAAAUGAGUUUGUGACCUCGAUGUUGGACUAGGAAGCUAGUAAAUUAGCCGUUUACUGUGUGGUUCUGUUCGAACCGGAAUUCCU